GGAAAAACAAAACAAAACGAAAAAACCCACCCCUCCCUCACUACCUCAGUCACCGCCACCACUGCUAGUGGGCCCAAAGAAACAGCUCGUUGCCUUUAAUUUGGGGACCUAUGUUAAUGAAGUUGGUAAUUAAUUCGUCGCUUUGUUGUCGGUUCUUAUACUGUAUGUGUAAUCAAAUGUGGCCGUCCUUGGGAUUUACAGCAAUUAGCGAAUUACGGGAGUGCGCACGAGGCUGCAAGUUCUCGGCAGCCCGGCUGGGCUCGGCUCCGGCCUAAGGCUGGGCACUCCGCUGCCGCUGCAGACUUGCAGGUGUGUCCUAAGAGCCUUGGGGUCCUGGAGGCUCCGCGAACCCUCGAGCUCCUCCGGGCUUGCCCAGUUCUUCCUGGCUCCUUCGUAGCUGUUCCAGUCCUAAGGAAACUCCUGGCUGUCGCGUUCCCCAGAGCCACGACUUUGUGGGGCCUAGGCUAGGGGGGAGGAGGAAUUCUGCCCAGACUCUCCAGCAGUUGGUAGCAGGCAAGCUUUCUCCUGUGUCGCCUGGAAAAGUUGCAAAAUUGCUCUUCACCUGUAAGAACAUGCAUUUUAUCUUCCAGUCUCUUCUUGUCAAUUUGGAAAUUGCAGACACCCCGGCUCAGAUCAUUUUAAGGAGCUAGUUGAUUAAAAAAAAGUUCAAUAUUUAAAAGGCAUAACACCCCAAACCUGGAAAAGAUCAUGUGUGCAAGAAACCACUGAUGCUGUCUUCCAAA
RNAcentral lists this long non-coding RNA (743 nucleotides) under Mus musculus (house mouse). RNAcentral describes it as "orthodenticle homeobox 2 opposite strand 1". The record is from RNAcentral. Lineage: Eukaryota; Metazoa; Chordata; Mammalia; Rodentia; Muridae.